AUGGCGCGACCAGAUCCGCCACGGUUGCCCCGCGCUUUGUCCACGGGCUCGACUCCAGGGACUGGUCUGCGAGGCCCUCAACGACGCGUGCCGCCUCGCCAUCCACCACCCUGCCCUCCUCGUCCCCAUCCUGGAGAAGGUGGUGCUGGGGAUCUUGAAGACGAUGAAGAACUCGUGCAGCGCCGUGCUCAAGACCUCCGUGAUGGCGUGCACGGACGUCUUCACGGCCUUCGGCAACCUCUCCUUGAGCAGCAGCUUGUCCAAGCCGAUGCAGUUGGAGUUCAUAUAUAUUUCUCCAAAAAUUAUACUCUCACUAUGCGCCGCCGGAUUCGAGGGUGGAGCCCGAGCCUCAACUGGAGCAUGGAUCAGCCGUGCAGAGGUGGAGCUCCGCAUGGAUCAUGA
RNAcentral lists this ribosomal RNA (402 nucleotides) under Triticum aestivum (bread wheat). RNAcentral describes it as "partial small subunit ribosomal RNA". The record is from RNAcentral. Lineage: Eukaryota; Viridiplantae; Streptophyta; Magnoliopsida; Poales; Poaceae.